Molecule: ribosomal RNA, 588 nt
Filed under: uncultured marine eukaryote
Lineage: Eukaryota
Description: bacterial SSU rRNA
Rfam family: Eukaryotic small subunit ribosomal RNA
Source: RNAcentral
UUGCAGUUAAAAAGCUCGUAGUUGGAUUUCUGCGUGAGCGGGGCGGCCGGCCACAAUAGUGGCCCGCGCUAGCUAUGUUCGCGCAUCCGGUCGGAAGCCGUACUACCAUUCAUUUGGUGGUGCCGGUGAACGGCCCGUUUACUUUGAGAAAAAUAGAGUGUUCAAAGCAGGCCAUUUGCCUUGAAUAAUUUAGCAUGGAAUAAUAAUAAAGGACUACGGUUCUAUUUUGUUGGUGUUCGGGACCGAAGUAAUGAUUGAUAGGGACAGUUGGGGGCGUCAGUAUUCCAAAGCGAGAGGUGAAAUUCUUAGACCUUCGGAAGACUAACCGCUGCGAAAGCGUUCGCCAAGGAUGUUCCCUUUGAUCAAGAACGAAAGUUGGGGGAUCGAAGACGAUCAGAUACCGUCGUAGUCUCAACUAUAAACUAUACCAGCUAGGGAUCGGCCAAUGUUGGUUACAUAGACUUGGUCGGCACCUUAUGAGAAAUCAAAGCAUCUGGGUUCCGGGGGGAGUAUGGUCGCAAGGCUGAAACUUAAAGGAAUUGACGGAAGGGCACCACCAGGCGUGGAGCCUGUGGCUUAAUUUGACUC